Molecule: ribosomal RNA, 819 nt
Filed under: Chaetomium subcircinatum
Lineage: Eukaryota; Fungi; Ascomycota; Sordariomycetes; Sordariales; Chaetomiaceae
Description: LSU rRNA
Rfam family: Eukaryotic large subunit ribosomal RNA
Source: RNAcentral
AACGGCGAGUGAAGCGGCAACAGCUCAAAUUUGAAAUCUGGCUUCGGCCCGAGUUGUAAUUUGCAGAGGAAGCUUUAGGCGCGGCACCAUCUGAGUCCCCUGGAACGGGGCGCCACAGAGGGUGAGAGCCCCGUAUAGAUGGACGCCUAGCCUGUGUAAAGCUCCUUCGACGAGUCGAGUAGUUUGGGAAUGCUGCUCUAAAUGGGAGGUAAAUUUCUUCUAAAGCUAAAUACCGGCCAGAGACCGAUAGCGCACAAGUAGAGUGAUCGAAAGAUGAAAAGCACUUUGAAAAGAGGGUUAAAUAGCACGUGAAAUUGUUGAAAGGGAAGCGCUUGUGACCAGACUUGCGCCGGGCGGAUCAUCCGGUGUUCUCACCGGUGCACUCCGCCCGGCUCAGGCCAGCAUCGGUUCUCGUGGGGGGACAAAGGUCCCGGGAACGUAGCUCCUCCGGGAGUGUUAUAGCCCGGGGCGUAAUGCCCUCGCGGGGACCGAGGACCGCGCUUCGGCAAGGAUGCUGGCGUAAUGGUCAUCAGCGACCCGUCUUGAAACACGGACCAAGGAGUCAAGGUUUUGCGCGAGUGUUUGGGUGUAAAACCCGCACGCGUAAUGAAAGUGAACGUAGGUGAGAGCUUCGGCGCAUCAUCGACCGAUCCUGAUGUUUUCGGAUGGAUUUGAGUAGGAGCGUUAAGCCUUGGACCCGAAAGAUGGUGAACUAUGCUUGGAUAGGGUGAAGCCAGAGGAAACUCUGGUGGAGGCUCGCAGCGGUUCUGACGUGCAAAUCGAUCGUCAAAUCUGAGCAUGGGGCGAAAGACUAAUCGA